RNAcentral lists this transfer RNA (76 nucleotides) under Alphaproteobacteria bacterium. RNAcentral's name for it is "tRNA-Thr". It matches the Rfam family "tRNA". Rfam says of the family: Transfer RNA (tRNA) molecules are approximately 80 nucleotides in length. Their secondary structure includes four short double-helical elements and three loops (D, anti-codon, and T loops). Further hydrogen bonds mediate the characteristic L-shaped molecular structure. tRNAs have two regions of fundamental functional importance: the anti-codon, which is responsible for specific mRNA codon recognition, and the 3' end, to which the tRNAs corresponding amino acid is attached (by aminoacyl-tRNA synthetases). tRNAs cope with the degeneracy of the genetic code in two manners: having more than one tRNA (with a specific anti-codon) for a particular amino acid; and 'wobble' base-pairing, i.e. permitting non-standard base-pairing at the 3rd anti-codon position. Lineage: Bacteria; Pseudomonadati; Pseudomonadota; Alphaproteobacteria. The record is from RNAcentral.
GCCGCCAUAGCUCAGCUGGUAGAGCACCUGAUUUGUAAUCAGGGGGUCACAGGUUCGAGUCCUGUUGGCGGCACCG